RNAcentral lists this unclassified non-coding RNA (379 nucleotides) under uncultured Oligoflexales bacterium. Its description in RNAcentral is "contains 16S-23S intergenic spacer region". The record is from RNAcentral. Lineage: Bacteria; Pseudomonadati; Bdellovibrionota; Oligoflexia; Oligoflexales.
UCCGGUUUGUCACCGGCAGUCACCUUAGAGUGCCCAACUAAAUGAUGGCAACUAAAGGCGAGGGUUGCGCUCGUUGCGGGACUUAACCCAACAUGUCACCACACGAGCUGACGACAGCCAUGCAGCACCUGUCAUCUGGUUGUAUUGCUACAAAAGACGUAUUUCUACGUUUGUCCAGAGAUGUCAAACCUAGGUAAGGUUUUGCGCGUUGCUUCGAAUUAAACCACAUGAUCCACCGCUUGUGCGGGCCCCCGUCAAUUCCUUUGAGUUUUAGUCUUGCGACCGUACUUCCCAGGCGGGGUACUUAUUGCGUUAGCUCCGGCUCCACAGGGGUCAAGUCCCAUAAAGCCUAGUACCCAUCGUUUACAGCGUGGACUAC